RNAcentral lists this ribosomal RNA (450 nucleotides) under uncultured bacterium. Its description in RNAcentral is "partial 16S ribosomal RNA". It matches the Rfam family "Bacterial small subunit ribosomal RNA", at positions 338 to 795 of the family's 1533-position model. The record is from RNAcentral.
CCUACGGGUGGCUGCAGUGAGGAAUAUUGGUCAAUGGGCGAGAGCCUGAACCAGCCAUGCCGCGUGCAGGAAGACGGCCCUACGGGUUGUAAACUGCUUUUGUUUGGGAAGAAAAGGCGCUACGUGUAGUGCACUGACGGUACCAGAUGAAUAAGCAUCGGCUAACUCCGUGCCAGCAGCCGCGGUAAUACGGAGGAUGCGGGAUUUAUUCGGUUUUAUUAGGGUUAAGGGGGAAGGCGAAGGCAGUGUUGAAAUCCCCCAGCUUAACUGGGGAACUGCCAGUGAUACUGGUUUUCUUGAGUACAGUUGAAGUAGGCGGAAUGUGUAAUGUAGCGGUGAAAUGCUUAGAUAUUACACAGAACACCGAUUGCGAAGGCAGCUUGCUAAGCUGUUACUGACGCUGAUGCACGAAAGCGUGGGGAGCGAACAGGAUUAGAUACCCCAGUAGUC